GACGAACGCUGGCGGCGUGCUUAACACAUGCAAGUCGAACGGAAAGGCCCUGCUUUUGUGGGGUUCUCGAUUGGCGAACGGGUGAGUAACACGUGAGUAACCUGCCCUUGACUUUGUGAUAACUUCAGGAAACUGGGGCUAAUACCGGAUAGGAGCUCCUGCUGCAUGGUGGGGGUUGGAAAGUUUCGGCGGUUGGGGAUGGUCUCGCGGCUUAUCCGCUUGUUUGUGUGGUAGUUGCUUACCAAGGCUUUGACGGGUAGCCGGCCUGAGAGGGUGAACGGCCACAUGGGGACUGAGAGACGGCGCAGACUGCUACGGGAGGCAGUAGUGGGGAGUAUUGCACAAUGGGCGGAAGCCUGAUGCAGCAACGCCGCGUGCGGGAUGACGGCCUUCGGGUUGAAAACCGCUGUCGCCUGUGACGAAGCGUGAGUGACGGUAAUGGGUAAAGAAGCACCGGCUAACUACGUG
This 468-nucleotide ribosomal RNA is filed under the name uncultured bacterium. RNAcentral describes it as "partial 16S ribosomal RNA". It matches the Rfam family "Bacterial small subunit ribosomal RNA", at positions 28 to 507 of the family's 1533-position model. The record is from RNAcentral.